Molecule: ribosomal RNA, 492 nt
Filed under: uncultured bacterium
Lineage: Bacteria
Description: partial 16S ribosomal RNA
Rfam family: Bacterial small subunit ribosomal RNA
Source: RNAcentral
AGUGAACGCUGGCGGUAGGCCUAACACAUGCAAGUCGAACGGCAGCACAGUAAGAGCUUGCUCUUACGGGUGGCGAGUGGCGGACGGGUGAGGAAUACAUCGGAAUCUACUUUUUCGUGGGGGAUAACGUAGGGAAACUUACGCUAAUACCGCAUACGACCUACGGGUGAAAGCAGGGGAUCUUCGGACCUUGCGCGAUUGAAUGAGCCGAUGUCGGAUUAGCUAGUUGGCGGGGCAAAGGCCCACCAAGGCGACGAUCCGUAGCUGGUCUGAGAGGAUGAUCAGCCACACUGGAACUGAGAUACGGUCCAGACUCCUACGGGAGGCAGCAGUGGGGAAUAUUGGACAAUGGGCGCAAGCCUGAUCCAGCCAUACCGCGUGGGUGAAGAAGGCCUUCGGGUUGUAAAGCCCUUUUGUUGGGAAAGAAAAGCAGCAGGUUAAUACCCCGCUGUUCUGACGGUACCCAAAGAAUAAGCACCGGCUAACUUCGUG